This 652-nucleotide ribosomal RNA is filed under the name Anelosimus potmosbi. Its description in RNAcentral is "eukaryotic LSU rRNA". The stretch from base 424 to 652 matches the Rfam family "Eukaryotic large subunit ribosomal RNA", at positions 665 to 860 of the family's 3401-position model. Lineage: Eukaryota; Metazoa; Arthropoda; Arachnida; Araneae; Theridiidae. The record is from RNAcentral.
GGCCGCGCCAAGGCCGUCUUCAGAGGUUCCGUGAGMGGACCGUUCGGCGUGAGCGCAGCCUCUCCCUACGACGCAUUUGUUUUCCUCCCGAAGGACGCCGCAACCGGUUGGGACRCGGCCUUAAAGUCGAGCGACGGCAGGUGGCCGGUGGCGCGCCUCGUGCGCGUCGUCGGUGUCUAGCCGGCUCCGUCACACGGCACGAGUCCCGACCGUGGUGUCGCGAAGCCCUUCCCUUGGGCUUCACCGCCUCCUCUCGUAAAAAGACGCGCACUGGACGCGGCAGUGGCUCUUCAAGGCGGCGGGCGCACAGACUGACUCUGUGGCCAGCUGCGUGGAGUCCUCGUUGGCCGCGCGAGAUGCGUUGGAGGCCGGCGGUUGGCGGCGAGUAGAUCGGUCACCCAUCCGACCCGUCUUGAAACACGGACCAAGGAGUCUAACAUGUGUGCRAGUCAAUGGGUCUCGAAUAAGCCCAGAGGCGCAAUGAAAGCAAAGGCCGGACUCGACUCCGGCCGAGUUGGGAUCCCGGGGCCGCCGAGCUCCGGGCGCACCAACGACCCGCCCUGUCCSAUUCAUCGGUUGGGCGGAGUCUGAKCAUACACGUUGGGACCCGAAAGAUGGUGACCUAUGCCCGGGCAGGACGAGGCCAGAGGAA